This 460-nucleotide ribosomal RNA is filed under the name uncultured bacterium. Its description in RNAcentral is "partial 16S ribosomal RNA". It matches the Rfam family "Bacterial small subunit ribosomal RNA", at positions 338 to 795 of the family's 1533-position model. The record is from RNAcentral.
CCUACGGGAGGCAGCAGUGAGGAAUAUUGGUCAAUGGGCGCGAGCCUGAACCAGCCAAGUCGCGUGAAGGAUGACUGCCCUAUGGGUUGUAAACUUCUUUUAUAAAGGAAUAAAGUUAUGCACGUGUGCCUAUUUGCAUGUCCUCUAUGAAUAAGGAUCGGCUAACUCCGUGCCAGCAGCCGCGGUAAUACGGAGGAUGCGAGCGUUAUCCGGAUUUAUUGGGUUUAAAGGGAGCGUAGAUUGUUUUUUAAGUCAGCUGUGAAAGUUUGCGGCUCAACCAUAAAAUUGCAAUUGAAACUGGCAGUCUUGAGUGCGGUUGAGGUAGGCGGAAUGCGUGGUGUAGCGGUGAAAUGCAUAGAUAUCACGAAGAACUCCGAUUGCGAAGGCAGCUUACUAAGCUACAACUGACAUUGAUGCUCGAAAGUGUGGGGAUCAAACAGGAUUAGAUACCCUAGUAGUC